This 467-nucleotide ribosomal RNA is filed under the name Xiphinema rivesi. RNAcentral describes it as "eukaryotic LSU rRNA". It matches the Rfam family "Eukaryotic large subunit ribosomal RNA", at positions 537 to 873 of the family's 3401-position model. The record is from RNAcentral. Lineage: Eukaryota; Metazoa; Nematoda; Enoplea; Dorylaimida; Longidoridae.
UAACCAGCUCGUUCGGUUUCGAUCGUUGGAUCUAUAUAGCAUCGAGCGAAUACUUAAUAAUUACGUCGGCGUAAAACGCUCGACGAGCGGCGGAGACUCGGCCAGUCGUUCGAUACCUGCUCGCAGGUGCUCGUUCGGCGCGAGGUCGUUUCCCGAUGUCGCCGUCGACGCUACCGACGUUUAGGCGUCCGCGGCGUCCGAGUCGGCCACCCGUCCGACCCGUCUUGAAACACGGACCAAGGAGUCUAACGUACGCGCGAGUUAAUGGGCGGAAAACCCAUAAGCGUAAUAAAAGUAAAAGUCGUCCCAAGACGGCCGAGGUACGAUCCUAGACUACGCGUCUAGGCGCAGUACCGUCCCGUCCCGACCGCACGUCGGUAGGGCGGAGAUUGAGCGCAUACGUUGGGACCCGAAAGAUGGUGAACUAUGCCUGAGCAGAGCGAAGCCAGAGGAAACUCUGGUGGAGG